RNAcentral lists this ribosomal RNA (253 nucleotides) under uncultured bacterium. RNAcentral's name for it is "partial 16S ribosomal RNA". It matches the Rfam family "Bacterial small subunit ribosomal RNA", at positions 524 to 776 of the family's 1533-position model. The record is from RNAcentral.
UACGUAGGCAGCAAGCGUUGUUCGGAGUUACUGGGCGUAAAGGGUGUGUAGGCGGUUCUUUAAGUUUGGUGUGAAAUCUCCCGGCUCAACCGGGAGGGUGCGCCGAAUACUGAGGGACUAGAGUGUGGGAGAGGAAAGUGGAGUUCCUGGUGUAGCGGUGAAAUGCGUAGAUAUCUGCAGGAACACCCGUGGCGAAAGCGGCGAGCUGGAUCACUACUGACGCUGAGGAACGAAAGCUAGGGGAGCAAACAGG